RNAcentral lists this ribosomal RNA (561 nucleotides) under uncultured bacterium. RNAcentral's name for it is "bacterial SSU rRNA". It matches the Rfam family "Bacterial small subunit ribosomal RNA", at positions 338 to 915 of the family's 1533-position model. The record is from RNAcentral.
CCUACGGGAGGCAGCAGUGGGGAAUAUUGGACAAUGGGGGCAACCCUGAUCCAGCAAUUCUGUGUGCACGAAGAAGGUUUUCGGAUUGUAAAGUGCUUUCAGCAGGGAAGAAGAAAGUGACGGUACCUGCAGAAGAAGCGACGGCUAAAUACGUGCCAGCAGCCGCGGUAAUACGUAUGUCGCAAGCGUUAUCCGGAAUUAUUGGGCAUAAAGGGCAUCUAGGCGGCCCUGUAAGUCUAGGGUGAAAACCUGCGGCUCAACCGCAGGCCUGCCCCGGAAACUACAGGGCUAGAGUAUCGGAGAGGUGGACGGAACUGCACGAGUAGAGGUGAAAUUCGUAGAUAUGUGCAGGAAUGCCGAUGAUGAAGAUAGUUCACUGGACGGUAACUGACGCUGAAGUGCGAAAGCUAGGGGAGCAAACAGGAUUAGAUACCCUGGUAGUCCUAGCUGUAAACGAUGAUUACUGGGUGUGGGCAUGAAGAGUGUCCGUGCCGAAGCAAAUGCGAUAAGUAAUCCGCCUGGGGAGUACGGCCGCAAGGUUGAAACUCAAAGGAAUUGAGG